Molecule: RNA transcript, 12758 nt
Organism: Bacillus rossius redtenbacheri
Lineage: Eukaryota; Metazoa; Arthropoda; Insecta; Phasmatodea; Bacillidae
Exons: 5
Source: RefSeq, a predicted model, not a curated record
UGCAUUUAUUAAUUCAUAGAGAUCAAACCAAGGAUUGUUUGUAGAUUACACAAAGGCUUACAUUAUAAAUUGCCUAUCCGAAUAUUUUAAAUGGUUUAUUUGAGAAUUUUUAUUGUAAUUUUACUAUAAACUGAGUGCGUUGAAUGGCUGCAGUAGCAUUCGUGAAACAUAUUAUGUAUUCUCUUAAUCUUUUAAAAUCACUGAUAUAUUUAAAAAAAAAAAACAUUAUUAUAAAAAUAAUUGACUUUAACAUUGACUUUAUCAUAGAACUUGUCAUAAAUUUUUUUUGUUUGUAAAAAAAAUUAAUUCAACAUUGCUAAAUAAAUUUCUGUACAUGUAUUCACUGAAAACGAUCAAAUAAAUGAUUUUCCGAACAUAACACAUACACCCAUUUAUACCCAUAUGCUUUUCUAACAAAACCCUUAAUCCUCCUUUUUUAACUUCGCGUUUACAUUUACUUUAUAUGUUUGUACAUACAACUGACAGCGACGAUGACUGAAGUAGGCAGCACGAAUUUUGUUCUAAUUUCAAUUAUUUUUCAGUUUUUGAGGAUAAUUUAGCAUUAUCACUUUUAUAAAAUAACUUAAGUUAAAGCUUUUGUUAAAUAAUAUAUUUUCAAUUAUUUAUUUAUUUUUAUUCUGUUUUAAAAACACUACCUGAAUAAAUACCUACAGCUGUUAUUUAGUUUAUUUCGUCACAAUAUAAGCAACGACAGUUGUAUGACACAAGGUGUAAUAUUGAAAAUCAUUUUAGUGUUGGACUAAUAUGUAACUAUUUUUAGGAAACAACCGAAGUCAUUAAUGCAAGUUAACGAUUCUAAAUAAAUAAUUACUUUAAUAAUAACUCUCUUUUCAAGUGAGCGGUUUUGAGAGAAAACUAUUGUGCACAACCACUGAAAAUAAACUGUAAAAUAAACAGUGAAUUUAACCAAUUAUUGUGCUAUUAAAUAUUUUUUUUAUAACUUAUAUCUUCCUACAGCCUUGUAAGAUGUGAACUACGGUCACAUCAUUACCCUGGACAGUUACUUGCCGUCGGAGUGAUUCACUCAGUUUCUAGUGUGAGGCUAAGUUACAUUGCACGAGUGUCGGUGGGUUUGGCUACGUGAGGCUUGGUUUCAUGUGACACCUUACGGCCGUGAUAUAGCGACCAAGAAGACUGAGCGAGUGUUGGAGAUUGGAACCAGGUCUGCCAACUAUCCACCUGCCUAGUGAGUCCCUACUCGCCUGAGGACCAAGGCGAGUACCACAACUUAAAGCGUCGUUUGCUGAUCAGCAGUGGGUACCCUACACCCGGAGUCCAGGGAGAGGUUUGGAAUUGGUACCGGGUCACCAGCGAGUAGCAGAGCCGCGAGCGAGUCGCAGUCCAGGCCGCUGGUCGUGGCUGAUCCUGGGGUUGCGCCCAGGACCCAGAGGAGGAGAGAGGACCAGGCAGAAGCUCAGGCAUUCCUGGACGAGAUGAACCAUCGCCUGGAUAUGCGGCCAUAUCGCUGAGCCGCGGACCGAGAGGCAGUAGUACCCAUUGCCCGCCCGAGUACCUAUAUUGGCGUCGACUGACUGGUCUCUUCGUGAACUAGCGAAGUUAAAAAGGACUGAGGCUGCCUGUAUUAUUAGGACUGUUAGUGUUCAGAGGGCAGCCUGUCGUAAUAAUAUAUAAGUUAUAAAUGUAAUUUCCAUGUGGUUUAUGUAUUUUAAUACCAGCUACACAUUAGGUUUAAUUAAUAGCUCACCGAGGAUGAUUGUUCUUUAAGACCUGUUGUGUUUAUCUUAUGGCCAAGGUAUGAGAGAGAUUUUUCGUGGACUGGGAGCAGUGUAUGGUUUUUGCCUACUCGUGCCUGAACUGAGUUUAUUUUGUUACCAGAGUAGUGGCCAACGAGUCGCCAGCAAAACGAGAGAAAGGGAACGCAGGCCAUGUUGGAAAUUAUGUUUAAACUAUUUGUAUUGUCAUGAUUGAAAUAAUGACUAGCUCGAGUUCAUUCUGUUGUGAGUGGCCGAAGCGCUGGCACCUGCUGCACUGCGUGGGGCGCCGGACGCCUGUAGCGUCCACUCUUAUGAGCCGCCUGCGAGCUCGCGUAGGGCGCGAAUGCGCUCAUGAUCGCAGGCCUGAGGCACCAUCUCUCUUCUGCCUGGUCCCGCGGUUUUCCAGAAACCACAAGUUAUAGACAGACAGUCCUGGAGGAAGUCGGUCGGGGUGUGUCUAUUCACGCCGCGUAGCACGAAUCUGCGCGGGAUCUCGUCCCUCUGAAGGGGGCCCGAGUGUUGGGCGCCUUGACCGCGCGGUGAUACUCGGCGAUGGAGCCGUGAUUACCUGUAUUUCAUCACGGCUGCGGUUUUGGUACGUGUGCUCCUUUGAGCGCAUGAAAUACCCGCGGGUACUGGUGCCCCUGGUCACUAGGGAGGGAGGGGGGCUGUCGGUCGUAGAGACCUCCCGACCGUGGUAACCGGCCGUUCGCUCGUGCUCAGCCCUGAAGGGGCCUCGCCGUCCAUCAUUGUAGUCGCUCACUCAUUGUUCGUGCGACGGUCGCCUAUUCACUCAGGGCCACCCACUGACCUUCCCCCGGGGCUAGUUAACUGGGUUCAGACUAGGCUACAGGAAAGCUAUAUCCCAGAAAACAAUAGUUUGUGAAAAUUUUGCCCAAAGAUGAAUUUUUGCACAGUGGUAGAGUCAACUAUGCUAAAUAAUAUAUCGAAUGUUUACCGCUGUAGCCAUUGUGUGUAUCACCGAAAACGUGCAGUUAGGUCCCAGAUGACAGCGACUCACAACAGUCCAUUAAAUUGCUUCUCAUUUACGCAGUUUUUAACAUAGCCUCUCCAUAAAUGCAUCAAAAUAAUCUAGAAACACUAUUUAACACAUUUAUAUUAAAACAUGUGCCAAAUAUUAGUAUAAAAGGUAUGAUAGAAAUUGAUGAAGUAAUAAAAAAAGUGUUUUUUUUUUUAUCUCAGUCAAUGACAUAAAAAUAUUAAUCACAUUAAAAUUAAUGGUCCGAUGUAAUAAUUACCUUGAAAAAAGUUUGUGCAUAUUUCGUAAGCUGAAAUGUGAUAUAUUUGAAGAGGCUUGUGUAAUUUAUUAAAUCGCUAGAGCGAUCCGAGUGUAGCAGUGUUGUGUACGUAUUGCGACAGUGCUACAGCUGCAAAGGCUGGGGUGACUUUCGCUCCCAUGAAAUCCAGGUUUUGUAACCUAUGAAAUAUUCACCCCUAACUGAGAUUUGGUACAGUUGUGAUAUCAUCUUUUUCUAGUUACAUGUGAAAUUAACCUCCGCAAACCUUGUGCUUUACACCAAAAAGGUAAAGUGAACUUUGAAUAAUAGCUUCUUGAGUGCUCCACAAUAUUGCAUUCCGUAAACGUUAUUACUGUAGUAAACCAAACAAAAUUAUUCUAAAUAUAUUAUUCAACGUGAUAUAAUUGAAAAAUGUUUCAUAUUAUGAAAUAUAUAUAUAUUUAAUUAUAAAAUUAAUGAAAAUACAGAUAACAUAAACCUGAAUGGACCGACUUAAAAGACGUUAGAAAAGAUUGUUGCAUGAUUCUUAAGCAUUAAAAUGGUAUAUUGCUCUGACUCAAUUGAUAUGACCGGUGAAAGGUUCCGAGCGGCGUAGUGCGUAUUGUACUGCGGGAGCCUAAAGUUGCUCGGGUUGGGGCAAAUUUCGGUCUUAGGGAACUAAGGUUUUUAAUAACGCUGUAUUUUUCAACAGUGGUAGAAUCAACAUUUUUUUAGUAACAUAUCAAAAGUUUUCUCCUGCAAACCUUGUGCAUCACACAUAAAACGUGCGGUUAUGUCGUGCUUAGAUGUUGCGAAGGCCCUGCGUCGCAUUAAAAGUGAUGCGGUUGGUAAUGACAAACCAUUUGUUGUACCUGUGUUGGAGCAAAUUUUUAAUGCAACACUUACUACAGGUCAAUAUCUGACUAUAUGGAAGUACUCGUUUAUUAAACCAAUUCCAAAAAUUAAGUCUCCAGAAUAAUCCAAAGACUUCCACCCUAUAAGCAUCCUACCUGCUGUUUCCAAAGCUCUUGAACACCUGGUGCAUCAGCAAACUGUACAUACCUAUGAAAAGAAAAUCUUUUAGAUACUUUCCAGUCAGGUUUCAGACCUGGUCACAGCACCACUACUGCCCUAAUUAUUGCUAUGGAUAAUAUACGUCGUUUUAUUGAUAAGGGGGUACUAACGAUUUUAAUGCUGCUUGACCUCAGUAAAGCUUUUGAUUCGGUAGACCAUGCCCUUUUACUAAGUAAAAUUUCAGUUCUCUACAACUUCUCUCAUAGAGUUUGGCUUGGUUCGAAUCCUAUAUUAGCGGUCGUUGCCGAUGUGUCGCCCUUGAUAGUGAAUUGUCCUGUUGGCUCCUUGUAAAAUCGGGAGUUCCUCAGGGUUAGAUUCUUGGUUCACUUAUAUUUGCAAUUUUUAUUAAUGACUUACCUAAAUGCCUCAAAACUUGCCAAUAUCACAUGUACACAGAUGAUGUUCAGAUUUAUCUUCAUACCAAAGUUGUUGUAUAUUUAUUAAGCUUUAAAGUUAAAUAUUGUGAAGAGGCGUUCCAGUAACGAAGACUGUGCGAAGACAGUGACGGGACCCUAGUGCGCGGCUGAGUGGCGGACGAGUCUGCGAGUGGACAGGUGCGAGGUUAGGGGCGAAUCGCUGUUGAGCCUUGCUCCUGUGAAGAGGUGAACUGCGGACUUGAAGAGCAAUUAGUGACUUGUGGACAGAUAUCAAGUGUGGAUAUUUAAUCAGUUCUGUAAAUAGAGAAAACCAUAAAAUAAUUAUUUGGGCUAUCCUUCACGAACCCUGUUUCCCCACGAACUCGUAACAAUAUUUAUACUAGCUGUGCCUGCGACUCCGUCCGCGCGGGCGUUCGGUUAGGGAUAAAUUACCCAUACAGCACAAAAUGUUACAGAUAUGUUUCAGAAAUAUAACUUUUGAAACAUUGUAACAUGUUUGAAACAUUUCGCAACCUACCUGAAACAUCUCGGAUAUAUUUCAGAAACGUCAAAAUGUCCGCCCUGUGAAAUAUUUCAAUGAAACCUCCCUGCAACAUCAAAUGGUAAUGUUUCUGAAAUGUUUCCACUAAUGUCCCAUCAAUAUUUCUGAAACAUUUAACCGAAAUAUUUCCAUAAAUGUUCUGAAAUACAUACAAAAUGUAUCAUGUGACCUAAAAUACCUCUGGAAAUUAGGAUGACUGAGGGUAUAUUUAUAAUUUAAAAUAGUAUUGCACUUUAAUAGAUACCAUAAUGUUACAGCUGCAUUGGUCAGCUAGUUGCAGUGAAGUGCAGUGACUGUGUUCCAAUUCAUCACAGCAUGCCCUCGUACACUUCCUCUUGAUCACUUAGUGCAUAAUGCCCCUUGACCACUCCCUUAGAAAGUGUUAAUCGGUGGAUUGAUAUGAUCUUGUUCGUAUCUUCUUGUUUUCGUCAAGUUUUGCUUGUCCUUAGUAAUGUGUCGUUUUUUGAUUAUAUAAAAAAAUAGAUAUUGUAAUAUUAUUUUGUUUGAAAUUAUUUUAAAGAUGUGCUCUGGUAUGGCAUAUAAUGUAAAUUUUUGUCGUUUUUAAUGUAAUGAUAAUUGAUUAUAUUACUUAAUAAUUUGGCUUGUACAAUUGCUGAAAAACCAAUUAAAAAUCUACUUAUAAUUUCUAAUGUAAGAUUAAAAAGGCCUGCCAACAAAAUCCAACAAUUCAUGUAAAUUAAUGAAACCAUAUUCUCCACCCUACUGAGCUAAUUUUAUAUAUAUGAACCAAGUUAAAGAAAUAAUUUAAUUAAUCUAAUUAGACAUCAGAUGUGUUCCCAGGUCAGCGUACCAGACUUGCCUAACAUUAAGUUUACAAACUAUUUUAUUAUUUUAAAAACAAAUUAUGGUCAUGAAAGUAAAAUUUAAAUAAGUCUUCAGUAUGCUUGCAAAGUGAAUGAAACUUACAUGAAUGUCAUAGGAAGCCCAGCACUGGUGUCCAUGGUUCCUGUCCAUUGCAUUUUAUUUUAAUGGGGAAUUUGAAUGUGAUAUAGUGGCAGGCAGGCAUGCAUCUACAUCACUAAUAUACCUAUAUACAAUACACUAACAUAUUAUAAUAGAAAAUUCCUACUUGUAUGUUGCACAGGAAACCGGUAUUAACAUAAUGAACAGCCAUGAGACUUGACCUGUGCUCGUAUUGUGAUGUACUUUUCUCCUUAUUUAAUGCUAUAGUAAGUAUAUAUGGCUGGUGCUUAUGAUUUGUACAUUUGCAAGAAAAAAAUGUGUGCUUGAAAACCCUCAAAAUACAUGUAACAAUUUUAUGUUAUAAUUAAUGUCUUUUUCUUCUUAAACACACACAUACUAAUUUACAGAGGGUCUAAAUAUGAAACAAUGCAGUCUUAAUACAAAUUCAUCAUAUAGCUUUAUAAUCGACAUAUUGUUUUCCAUUUCACACAAGCUCAACAUAAAUGAGACUGGACUGGAAUCGGCUGUCCUCACUAAACGAAAAACUUGUCUGACCAGCCUAAAUGAAGUGAGAUGGUGGUGUAGUAGUGGAAUAUAAAUGGGAAUGAAACAAAUGUGCGUUGAGAAAUACUCUUUAACAUUGCAAUGUCACUUUUCCCAAUUGAAAGACUUAUUGUAUCAGACAAGAGCUCAAAUUGAUCCAGCUUCCCUAACAUUGAGUGGCCAGUGACUUGUUGAAGAUACAAUAGUGGCAGUCCAUAAAAAUUCUGGUUUCCGUAAUUUUUUCUAUAAAAAGCAUGUUCAAUUUAAGCACUUUUCGCGCAGGUUACUUCAGUCAUUCGGCGCACUUUUUUGUUGGUAAAAGUAUAUACAGAAGAUCUCACGGCCCAGCUUAAAAUUGUGGAUGGUACAAAUUGUUAAGAAAGCCUUGGGCAAACGCUAGAAUAAUAAGUAAAGUGUGGACAAUCCUUAGUUUGAUCCCUAUGAAUUAAAAUUUAUAAUAAAAAUCUGGCUGCCGUGGUCCAUGAUUAGUUAGUUUUUUUUUUUUAAGUACUUAUUUUUCAAACUUAAAUAUUUUCUGGUUUAUUACUGAGUAUACCCUACACUUUUGUUUGCUUAUUGUAAAACAUUUGUUUUCUUGACUGACAUUGAAGAAAAAAAUUAUUCAAUUCAAGCUCAAAUUUGCGCCGCCGUCUUCAGUCAUUCGGCGCACUUUUUUGUUGGUAAAAGUAUAUACAGAAGAUCUCACGGCCCAGAUUAAAAUUGUGGAUGGUAAAAAUUGUAAAGGAAGCCUUGGGCAAACGCUGGAAUAAUAAGCAUUGAAGAAAAAAAUUAUUCAAUUCAAGCACUUUUCGCGCAAGCUACUUCAGUCAUUCGGCGCAUUUUUUUGUUGGUAAAAGUAUAUACAGAAGAUCUCACGGCCCAGCUUAAAAUCGUGGAUGGUACAAAUUGUAAAGAAAGACUUGGGCUAAAGUUGGAAUAGUCAAUUCCCAUACAGCACACUUGGUGUAAGAAACGUCGCAUCGACGUGGUAAUGUCGAAAUGUGGUCACGUCACCAAAACCGACGUCGAAUCGACGUGGUCUUUGAAACCAUGAAGUAAGUGUACAUUGUCCACGUCGGAGCGACGUGUUUUUCUGUUUCUCUGAGGUUCGAGUCGCCUACACGACGUCGGUAUGACGUCUAUCUUUCGACCAUCAUGUUCAGUUUUAGAAAGUAAUAACUGUAUAAUUAAUUAAUGUAAAAUUAUAAUAAUAUAACAUUAUUAAAUGUUCAUUGUCCUUUUUACUAAAUGUAAUAAGUAUUUUUUAAAAAUUAGAUUUCAACUGAUGUUUGAAUUGUUUCUGCGCAGUUGGUCAUUUGCUCAUUUCCUGUUAAUGGCGUGUUUUUGGUAUGUUAUUGGCACGGCCGUGGUUAUUGGUGUUGUUUUGGACUAGUUUGGUAAGUUUAGAUUUGUAACGGCUAGGUACUAUUUAAUGCAGUUUUGUUUGUUAUGUUUAGAAUGAUGAAGUGUAUAUUUAUGUUGUGGAUUUACGAAUCCUAUCUCCAAUGUUGUAUACAUAACCUCCAUAGACACACUUCACGUACGGCCGUUUCCGAAUAUAACAUGUUGGGCUUGUGUACACAAAUGUUCCCGUCACUUUUUGUGAAUAAUAUAUUGAGGACUUAUUUUGUUGGUUUUUAAAAGCAUUCGCAGGUGUAUUGUAGAAUAUAUACAAAAUAGGUGCUUAUUCAUGAAAGAGCAGCUGUUAUAUUUUAUUAUUUUAAUUUUGUAAUGCUUUUAAUACUUUUCUUGUACCUGUUUAUGUGGUUGUAUUCAUGUUUAUUUGUAAUUUUCUUUUGACAUAUUCUAUACCAUUGUAUGGUUUAUUGAAUGAAAUAAAAAUUCAAAUGAAAUCAAAUACGAUACUAAACAAAGGUUAAGUUAGGUUGGGUACGUAACGUUGCGUGUUGUUACGUAGGAAAUCGGAAUAAUGCAUGUUUAUGAUUCCUGUUGCAGUGGUAAAUGGUUACAGGUCAAAAUAGGGACAGUGGCUCACUUUAACCUACUGAAAUGAUACUUUGAAGUUGCAUUGCAGUAUCAAUACAAGAAUUGUGGGUAAUAUUUGGGUAAAUAUGUAGAUUAGCGGUAUUUCCUUAAAAAAACACAAUGUUACUCUCCAGUUUUACCAAAAUGGCUAUAUCUCCUAAAUAUUUGGAAUUUCUUAUCUCCACCACCUUUAAUGAAAAGAGGAAGUUAAGGAGCACAAAAUGACACUAUUUUGUGAUUUUUAAUAUUUUCUGUUAACAGAUAUCGUUACUCUCCAGUUUUACCGUAUUUUAAUGUAGGUACCAUAAAUUCAUAUAAACUAUUAUUCUUAUGAUGUCACACAUUUAUUUGUAAUAUUGGUAAAAGUUUCGUAUUGCGUCUCUAAGGAGAUCACUUGAUCCUGAGGACACGAUCCUGUAAAUAUUGAUGCUGUGGUACAUGAUGCUUGCUGUUGUGAUUUAGCACGGUUUGUUAGGUUAGUACAGCUGCAUUAAGUAUACUUCAAUAACAUGCCAUCAUAAUGAAGGUAUCUCCUUGUAUACGCAAUACGAAACUUUUACCGUAAUAUUAAUAUUGUGAUCAUGAGUCAUGACGUACAAAAUGAAUUGUACGUAAUUACUUUUACAUGCUGACUAAAAACGGCGUAUGAAUACGUUAGGAAAUUUACCUUACAAGUGACAAAAUCGCACAGUGUUUUCAAUUACCUUGGGUGUAGCCGUCAAUUACUAUUUUUUUUACUGAAGGGUUUCUAUUGGAUGAUUUAAAAUACGUACUAUUUUGUCUCGUCUGAGGACAAGUUUAGGAGAAAUCGCCAUUUAUACAUUUCAUUAUGAUCCAAAAUGGUAAAGUUAUAAUAUUAAGUACGUACAAAAAUUUGAAUCGGUAGACAUUAAAUUUAGUUUUGUUUUACCAUGUUUAAAAUAUAUAGCUUCUGUCACAAAUACAAAGUUACAUUGAUAAAAGUUCAGAAUAAAAAAAUUUGCUACCAUGUUGAAAUUAUUUUGUAGGGAAUAAUCUAUUAGUAGGCCUUUUUAAGUAAUAUGACUAUGUCACUAUAGUGACAUAUUGUUUUUGUGUGUUUAGGAAAUGGCUACGAAAAGAAAAGGCAACUAUAAAUCUUCUAUUUGUGAAAGGCAUUUACGAAGGAGAAUUUGCAAACAAACAGAUAUAGAGCUCCUGGAAGUCGAAUCAAUAUCGGCUCGACAGCUUUCCCAAAUAAGUUAUGGUGGUGUAAAUGGUACAACUUUAGUAUCACAUUGCGAAGCAAAUGCACUAGAACCUUUUAAUGAAAAAUCUGCACAUUCCGAGAUACUAGAAAUAAAAACUCUACCAGAAAUUUGUAAUGAAACGGAUUUAGGAACACACUUAAAAUGUGUUGCAGCAGGGUCAGAUGUUUUUGCAGACAGUGUAUUUGCAAAUACAUGUUCAGAAGAUACUUGCAUGGCUUCCGAUUCAGAUUAUGUAAAUUACGCACAAUCUGUUUGUGAACGUAAUUUGGAAACAGGCUUGACCAGUUGGGCCCUAGAUUACAAUGUUUCACAUGCAGCUGUAACAAGCUUGUUGAAAUUAUUAAAGGCUACCGGGCUACAUGAAGAUCUCCCAACAGAUGCACGUUCAUUAUUGGCCACUCCCCGAACAAUUACAGUAAAUGAUUUGGGAACAGGAAAAUACUGUCAUUUUGGUUUACACGGCACAUGUAAAGUUAUUUUGAGAGAUGCUAAAAUGUCUAAAGUUAAUGUAGAGUGUCUGCAGCUAUUGAUUUGCAUAGAUGGUUUGCCAUUAUCAAGGUCCUCAUCAAGUUGUCUUUGGCCAAUAUUGUGUUCAGCUACAAUAACAAAAAAAGUAUUCAUUGUUGGUGCAUACCAGGGCAAUACCAAGCCUGAUAAUGCAAAUAUCUUUCUUGACAAGUUUGUACAGGAAGUAACUGGUAUCAUAAAUGAAGGUAUUCUGGAUAGUGAACGAAGAGUGCCGGUGCGUGUUCAUGCAGUUAUAUGUGAUGCACCGGCAAAAUCAUUUGUGUUAUCAGUCAAAGGUCACAGUGGCUAUAACAGUUGUACUAAAUGUACUGUUGUUGGGGAAUAUUGUGAAAGAAGAGUGUGCUUUCCUGGCAUUAAUUUUACAAAGAGAACCGAUGAUGAUUUUUUAAAACAUAGUGAUAAGGAACAUCAUUUAGGUAGAACGGUUCUUCAAGGAAUUCCACAUUUUGGCCCAGUUUCCAACGUACCAUUAGAUUAUAUGCAUCUGGUUUGUUUGGGUGUUGUAAGGAAACUUCUUGGAAUGUGGACUAAUGGUCCUUCAUCAGUACGUCUGUCUUCAACAUUAAUCAAUGCAAUUAGUGAAGAUUUGCUGGUGCUUAGGGGCUCUGCACCGGAUGAUUUUUCUCGUAAACCACGAUCACUGCAUGAGCUUAAGCACUGGAAGGCCACAGAAUACAGGCAGUUUCUUUUGUACUCUGGACCUGUGGUUUUGAAAAAGAUACUGCCAGUUGUUCAAUUCAAACAUUUUCUAGGACUUCAUGUAGCAAUAACCAUUCUCACUGGACCCUCAGCCACAAACAGUCAUGUUGAUUAUGCACAUAAAUUGUUAGUACAUUUUGUUUAUAAUUUUGAAAAACUGUAUGGCAAAGAAACAAUGUCCUACAACAUCCAUGGUCUGUUACAUCUAGCAGAUGAUGUUUUGUGUUUUGGGCCGCUUGAUACCUUCAGUGCAUUCAGGUAUGAAAACUAUAUGCAACAUAUCAAAAGACUAAUUCGAAAACAUGAAAAACCGUUGGAACAAUUGAGAAAAAGAUAUGCUGAAAUAGAAAAUCAUGCAUCAUUAUUGAGCAAAGAUGAGAAUAAAGUAAUGUUUUUUAAUACUCAUACUGAUGGUCCAUUGUUGAGUGGAAUGCAACCAAGAAGACAGUAUCAAAUGUUACACAAAAGCACAACUGUCAUUAAAAGAAGUGAUUUGAAAAAUAAUUGCUGCUAUCUUGUGAAUGGUCUUAUAGUUUCCGUACAGAAUAUUGUUACUUGUGAAAAUGGUACUCAUUGCAUCAUAGGCUACAUAAACACCCCUGUGAAGUGUUUAUAUUCCAUACCUUGUAAUUCCAAGAUCUUGAGUAUCAAUAUCAUGAAAGAAGAAAAAGAGUUGCAAAUGUGGCCAGUUGAUAUGAUUCAUGGGUAAUGUUGGAAAAUGAAGAUAAAAGGCAUGAUAGUUGUGUUCCCAUUGUUGCACACUACAGUUUCCUAAAUGUACAUUUUAUCAUAAUGUUACAGAAUGUCUCUCUCUGCAAUUGAACAGCAUUAGGCCUACUGAGUUGAUGUCAGAUCACACCUUUUUUGCGGAAUCUGAAGUUCACACAGUAGUCAGUGAAAAACUGGAAUAAUAUAUUGUUGAGUUCAGAUUUGGUCUCUCCUUGAACAUAAUUUUUUUUUCCUGAUAAACAUUGUCUGCUAACCUUAAAAUAACAUAUUUGUUUAUUUUUGCUAAGGAAUGACUUUUAGCAUCAUAGAAUUUGAGGAUGGCCUGCAGGUGGUGCCAACCAAGUGGCUUUGUGAUGAUGGCACAAGAUGUAAGUGGCCCUCAUAUGUGAACCCAAACAAAGUAAUUAAGUCUGUUACUUCUUUGGAGGAACCAAAAGAGGAUUGGCAUGUUCAUCAAGUCAUCAGGAAUUUUGGUGCAGCAGACAGUUAUGAAAAGGCCAUUCAAAAGAUGCGUGGUUGUGAGCGAUUUUCUGAUGUUGAAAGCGAUAAUGACAUAAUGAGCAAGAGGAAGAAAAGACAGACUAGAGCAAAAAAAAUCUUGGAGUCUAGUUCUUCAGAGACAGAUUUUGAUGAGAGUCAGUCACUGUUAUCACAUUUUCCUGCUGCCCCUCAUUUCACCAAGCCAUUGGCUACUUCCACUCAACUCAGUUGCAAAGAAAAACCACAGGGAAAAAAAAUUGCAGUAGCAACUAUGCAAGUUCAAAGUUCUGAUGUGCUGCCAUUGGAAAAUUCUGUGACUGUACCAACACAAGAAUUGAGGGCAGUUAGUGGUACGAGCCUCAGUGGUACAGAAAAUCAAAUUGAUAAAGAAUUCCACAAACUUAUUUUGCGCAAGUUGAAUCAUUUAAUUUAUAAAGUGGAUUCACUGGAAGAAAAAUUAAUGUCAUUGGGAGACAGGAACAAGGUUGUAGUAACAGAUGAAGAAGUCUGCAUACAGAAAUUGUUUCCUCUCAAGACAUUUGAAGAAGUGGAUCACUGUGAAUCGCUGCUAAAAGAUGCUACCUUUUGUGAUAAGUUGGCAAGUAUUUUAUAUUUUGCUUAACAUAUAUGUACUUCUAUAUAACUGAAAUAAAAUUUGUGUUAAUUAUUUACAA